UACGUAGGGUGCAAGCGUUGUCCGGAAUUAUUGGGCGUAAAGAGCUCGUAGGCGGUUUGUCGCGUCGGCUGUGAAAUCCCGAGGCUCAACCUCGGGCCUGCAGUCGAUACGGGCAAACUAGAGUGUGGUAGGGGAGACUGGAAUUCCUGGUGUAGCGGUGAAAUGCGCAGAUAUCAGGAGGAACACCGGCGGCGAAGGCGGGUCUCUGGGCCAUAACUGACGCUGAGGAGCGAAAGCGCGGGGAGCGAACAGG
RNAcentral lists this ribosomal RNA (253 nucleotides) under uncultured bacterium. RNAcentral's name for it is "partial 16S ribosomal RNA". It matches the Rfam family "Bacterial small subunit ribosomal RNA", at positions 524 to 776 of the family's 1533-position model. The record is from RNAcentral.